CCUACGGGAGGCAGCAGUGGGGGAUAUUGCACAAUGGGGGAAACCCUGAUGCAGCGACGCCGCGUGUGGGAAGACGGUCCUCUGGAUUGUAAACCACUGUCCCCAGGGACGAAGAUGAAGGAACCGGGGGAGGAAGCUCGGGCUAACUACGUGCCAGCAGCCGCGGUAAUACGUAGGGAGCGAGGGUUGUCCGGAAUUACGGGGUGUAAGGGGAGCGUAGGCGGGGAGGCAAGUUGGGUGUCAAAACUACCGGCUCCACUGGUAGUCGCACUCCAAACUGCAGCUCUUGAGUGAAGUAGAGGCAGGCGGAAUUCCUUGUGUAGCGGUGAAAUGCGUCGAUCUCACG
RNAcentral lists this ribosomal RNA (346 nucleotides) under uncultured bacterium. Its description in RNAcentral is "partial 16S ribosomal RNA". It matches the Rfam family "Bacterial small subunit ribosomal RNA", at positions 338 to 701 of the family's 1533-position model. The record is from RNAcentral.